AGAGUUUGAUCCUGGCUCAGGAUGAACGCUAGCGGGAGGCUUAACACGUGCAAGUCGAGGGGUAAGGUCUAGCUUGCUAGACACACGACCGGCGCACGGGUGAGUAACACGUAUGCAACCUACCCUGUACAGGGGGAUAGCUUUCGGAAACGAAAAUUAAUACCCCAUAGUUAUUAGUUAUUGCAUAAUAAUUAAUAUAAAGUUCCGACGGUACAGGAUGGGCAUGCGUUCCAUUAGCUAGUUGGUAAGGUAACGGCUUACCAAGGCAACGAUGGAUAUGGGGUCUUAAAGGAUGGUCCCACACACUGGCACUGAGACACGGGCCAGACUCCUACGGGAGGCAGCAGUGAGGAAUAUUGGUCAAUGGGCGCAAGCCUGAACCAGCCAUCCCGCGUGCAGGAUUGACAGUCCUAGUUGAUUGUAAACUGCUUUUGUUUGCCAAGAACCAUUCCGACGUGUCGGGAUCUGACGGUAGCAAACGAAUAAGCAUCGGCUAACUCCGUGCCAGCAGCCGCGGUAAUACGGAGGAUGCGAGCGUUAUCCGGAUUUAUUAGGUUUAAAGGGUGCGUAGGCGGGCUAUUAAGUCAGUGGUGAAAGUCUGUAGCUUAACUAUAGAAUUGCCAUUGAUACUGAUAGUCUUGAGUUCGGUUGAGGUAUGCGGAAUGUGUAAUGUAGCGGUGAAAUGCAUAGAUAUUACACAGAACACCAAUUGCGAAGGCAGCAUACUAAGCCGUUACUGACGCUGAUGCACGAAAGCGUGGGGAGCGAACAGGAUUAGAUACCCUGGUAGUCCACGCUGUAAACGAUGAUCACUCGCUGUUGGCAAUACAUAGUCAGCGGCUGAGCGAAAGCAUUAAGUGAUCCACCUGGGGAGUACGUCGGCAACGAUGAAACUCAAAGGAAUUGACGGGGGCCCGCACAAGCGGUGGAACAUGUGGUUUAAUUCGAUGAUACGCGAGGAACCUUACCUGGGCUUAAAUGUAGAGUGCAUAGGCUGGAAACGGUCUUUCCCUUCGGGGCUCUUUACAAGGUGCUGCAUGGUUGUCGUCAGCUCGUGCCGUGAGGUGUCGGGUUAAGUCCCAUAACGAGCGCAACCCCUAUUGCCAGUUGCCAGCAUGUAAUGAUGGGGACUCUGGCGAGACUGCCGGUGUAAACCGAGAGGAAGGUGGGGAUGACGUCAAAUCAGCACGGCCCUUAUGUCCAGGGCUACACACGUGUUACAAUGGCCGGUACAAAAGGCAGCCACCUGGCGACAGGGAGCUAAUCCUUAAAGCCGGUCUCAGUUCGGAUCGGAGUCUGCAACCCGACUUCGUGAAGCUGGAAUCGCUAGUAAUCGCGCAUCAGCCAUGGCGCGGUGAAUACGUUCCCGGGCCUUGUACACACCGCCUGUCAAGCCAUGGAAACUGGGGGUGCCUGAAGUUCGUAACCGCAAGGAGCGACCUAGGGUAAAACUAGUGACUGGGGCUAAGUCGUAACAAGGUA
Molecule: ribosomal RNA, 1482 nt
Filed under: metagenome
Description: bacterial SSU rRNA
Rfam family: Bacterial small subunit ribosomal RNA
Source: RNAcentral